CCUGCCUUAACUCAGUGGCUUAGAGUGCGCGGCUGUAGACCGCGAAGUCCCCGGUUCGAGUCCGGGAGGCGGGA
RNAcentral lists this transfer RNA (74 nucleotides) under Candidatus Methanoperedens nitratireducens. RNAcentral describes it as "tRNA-Tyr". It matches the Rfam family "tRNA". Rfam says of the family: Transfer RNA (tRNA) molecules are approximately 80 nucleotides in length. Their secondary structure includes four short double-helical elements and three loops (D, anti-codon, and T loops). RNAcentral also lists the same sequence under 1 other name. The record is from RNAcentral. Lineage: Archaea; Methanobacteriati; Methanobacteriota; Methanomicrobia; Methanosarcinales; Candidatus Methanoperedentaceae.